Molecule: non-coding RNA, 32 nt
Filed under: Rattus norvegicus (Norway rat)
Lineage: Eukaryota; Metazoa; Chordata; Mammalia; Rodentia; Muridae
Source: RNAcentral
UAGCUGUUCUCUAAAGGAGUACCUAACAGAAU